GGGGACCGAACCCAGGGCCUUGUGCUUGCUAGACAAGCGCUCUACCACUGAGCUAAAUCCCCAACCCCAUAACUGACUUUCUAAAGAAACCACAAGUUUCCACUUCAAUCAUCUCUCUGCUGCUCCCCCCAGAACAGGACUGGAAGUGGCGUGGCAGUUGGGCAACACGGGAGCGAUUUUCUGCUCGGACUUGAGAAGAAGACAAACAUGAUGGUG
This 216-nucleotide long non-coding RNA is filed under the name Rattus norvegicus (Norway rat). RNAcentral describes it as "long non-coding RNA NONRATT031845". Lineage: Eukaryota; Metazoa; Chordata; Mammalia; Rodentia; Muridae. The record is from RNAcentral.